AUACGUAGGGUGCAAGCGUUAAUCGGAAUUACUGGGCGUAAAGCGUGCGCAGGCGGUUCGGAAAGAAGGAUGUGAAAUCCCAGGGGUCAACCUUGGAACUGCAUUCUUAACUACCGAACUCGAGUAUGUCAGAGGGGGGUAGAAUUCCGCGUGUAGCAGUGAAAUGCGUAGAUAUGAGGAGGAAUACCGAUGGCGAAGGCAGCCCCCUGGGAUAAUACUGACGCUCAUGCACGAAAGCGUGGGUAGCAAACAGGAUUAGAUACCCUGGUAGUCCACGCCCUAAACGAUGUCAACUAGCUGUUGGGCCCUUCGGGGCUUAGUAGCGUAGCUAACGCGUGAAGUUGACCGCCUGGGGAGUACGGUCGCAAGAUUAAAACUCAAAUGAAUUGACGGGG
This 395-nucleotide ribosomal RNA is filed under the name uncultured bacterium. RNAcentral's name for it is "partial 16S ribosomal RNA". It matches the Rfam family "Bacterial small subunit ribosomal RNA", at positions 523 to 918 of the family's 1533-position model. The record is from RNAcentral.